RNAcentral lists this ribosomal RNA (194 nucleotides) under uncultured bacterium. RNAcentral describes it as "partial 16S ribosomal RNA". It matches the Rfam family "Bacterial small subunit ribosomal RNA", at positions 338 to 524 of the family's 1533-position model. The record is from RNAcentral.
CCUACGGGAGGCAGCAGUGGGGAAUCUUGGACAAUGGGGGCAACCCUGAUCCAGCCAUGCCGCGUGUGUGAAGAAGGCCUUCGGGUUGUAAAGCACUUUCAGUGAGGAGGAAAACCUUAUGGCUAAUACCCAUGAGGCUUGACGUUACUCACAGAAGAAGCACCGGCUAACUCCGUGCCAGCAGCCGCGGUAAU